RNAcentral lists this ribosomal RNA (1612 nucleotides) under Pelobates fuscus (common spadefoot toad). RNAcentral's name for it is "16S ribosomal RNA". It matches the Rfam family "Bacterial large subunit ribosomal RNA". Lineage: Eukaryota; Metazoa; Chordata; Amphibia; Anura; Pelobatidae. The record is from RNAcentral.
GACGCCACCUUUCUAGCCCAACCCCCCUAACAUCACACAAACCCAUAUUCUAAUAAACUUAAUAAAUCAUUCUAAGUCCUAAGUAUAGGUGAUAGAAAAGGAAUCCGGAGCAAUAUAAAUAGUACCGCAAGGGAAAGAUGAAAUAGAAAUGAAAUAAAUAAUUUAAGCACAAAAAAGCAAAGACUAAAUCUUGUACCUUUUGCAUCAUGAUUUAACUAGUCAAAUCAGGCAAAAAGUAAUUUCAGUCUGACCUCCCGAAACUAAGUGAGCUACUCCGAGGCAACUUUAGAGUUAACCCGUCUCUGUGGCAAAAGAGUGGGAAGACCUCCGAGUAGCGGUGACAGACCUAUCGAACUUAGUGAUAGCUGGUUACUCAAGAAAAGAAUCUAAGUUCCCUCUUAAGGUACCUCAGCAACUUUAAGCAAACCCUUACCUUAAGUGAUAUUCAAUAGGGGUACAGCCCUAUUGAAAAAGGAGACAACCUAAACCUCUGGAUAAUGAUCAUAAUAUUUAAACUUAGGCCUAGUAGGCUUAAAAGCAGCCACCUAAAAAGAAAACGUCAAAGCUCAUCCUAAUUCUUUAUUCAAUACCUAUAGACUUUCAAAAUCCAUAAUUCAUAUUGAGUCAUUCUAUAAAACUAUAGAACAGUUUAUGUUAAAACUAGUAACACAGAAUUAUACUUCUCUUAAAUACAAGUGUGAAUCAGAUCGAAUAAAUCACUGAUAAUUAACAAUCUCAUAGAGACUAUAGUAAUAACUACCCAAGAAAACAUUACUUCACCAACUGUCAAUCUUACACAAGAGUAUUCCAAGAAAGAUUAAAAAAUAAGGAAGGAACUCGGCAAAUCUAGGCUUCGCCUGUUUACCAAAAACAUCGCCUCUUGAAUUUUAUAAGAGGUCCCGCCUGCCCAGUGACUAUAUGUUCAACGGCCGCGGUAUUCUGACCGUGCGAAGGUAGCGUAAUCACUUGUCUUUUAAAUAAAGACUGGUAUGAAUGGCCUCACGAGAGCCUUACUGUCUCCCUUAUUUAAUCAGUGAAACUGAUCUUCCCGUGCAGAAGCGGGAAUUUUAUCAUAAGACGAGAAGACCCCAUGGAGCUUAAAACCUAAAAUUACCUGCUCAAACAUAUUUCCUACGGGACCACCCUUUAGCCUUGCAGAAAAUAAUUUAAGUUUUCGGUUGGGGUGACCACGGAGAAAAAUAAAUCCUCCUUGAUGAAUAAUUAAUUUAAACCACGAGCCACUGCUCUAAGUAUUAGAACUUCUAACUAAAUUGAUCCAAUAAUUUUGAUCAACGGACCAAGUUACCCUGGGGAUAACAGCGCAAUCUAUUUCAAGAGUCCAUAUCGACAAAUGGGUUUACGACCUCGAUGUUGGAUCAGGGUAUCCCAGUGGUGCAGCCGCUACUAAAGGUUCGUUUGUUCAACGAUUAAAACCCUACGUGAUCUGAGUUCAGACCGGAGAAAUCCAGGUCAGUUUCUAUCUAUGAAGAACUUUUUCUAGUACGAAAGGACCGAAAAAGUAGAGCCCAUAAUUACAUUACGCUCUUGUUAAAAAUUUCUGAACCCAUCUUAAAUUAACCUUAGCCUUCCCAAAUACCCUAGAUAAGGGUUA